This 424-nucleotide ribosomal RNA is filed under the name Verrucomicrobiota bacterium. RNAcentral describes it as "Verrucomicrobia bacterium partial 16S ribosomal RNA". It matches the Rfam family "Bacterial small subunit ribosomal RNA", at positions 355 to 776 of the family's 1533-position model. Lineage: Bacteria; Pseudomonadati; Verrucomicrobiota. The record is from RNAcentral.
UGAGGAAUAUUGGUCAAUGGACGGAAGUCUGAACCAGCCAAGUAGCGUGCAGGAUGACGGCCCUAUGGGUUGUAAACUGCUUUUGUAUGGGGAUAAAGUUAGGGACGUGUCCCUAUUUGCAGGUACCAUACGAAUAAGGACCGGCUAAUUCCGUGCCAGCAGCCGCGGUAAUUCGGAAGGUCCGGGCGUUAUCCGGAUUUAUUGGGUUUAAAGGGAGCGUAGGCCGCGUUUUAAGCGUGUUGUGAAAUGUAGACGCCCAACGUCUGCAUCGCAGCGCGAACUGGGACGCUUGAGUACGCGCAACGUUGGCGGAAUUCGUCGUGUAGCGGUGAAAUGCUUAGAUAUGACGAGGAACUCCGAUUGCGAAGGCAGCUGACGGGAGCGGCACUGACGCUUAAGCUCGAAGGUGCGGGUAUCAAACAGG